This 100-nucleotide small nuclear RNA is filed under the name Suricata suricatta (meerkat). The record is from RNAcentral. Lineage: Eukaryota; Metazoa; Chordata; Mammalia; Carnivora; Herpestidae.
UUGCUUCAGCAGCACAUGUAUUAAAACUGGAACAAUACAGAGAAGAUUAGCAUGGACUCUGAGGGUGACGUGCAAAAUUUGUGAAGCAUUCUGUACUAAG